AUCGCCGGGUCGCCUGUUCAUUCUUUAUUCUCUCGUAGUAGAGCCAUAGUAGAGUAAAGCACGUGUCGUAAAACCUUGUUGUCACAGUUUCUCCAUGGCUAUUUUAUUGUUUUUAUUGGAUGUUUUGAUUUUGUAUUUUUUGGAUUCGAUUUUCUUAGUGUGUAGUGUCGGUUUAGUGUUUAUUUUGAUUACUUUUUAUUUAAAAACUAUAAAACAGGUUCGUCAGUGCCAAAUUUGUAAGAAAUUGGACUAUUUAAGUCCUGGAACAACAUUCCACAGAUUAUGCUGCCAAAGUUUCCUGAAUACAAUUCCGACCACUCUGUAUAUCAAGAUAUCCCCCAUUACGUACUAGUUUUUCUUAAUAAUUUUCUAUACAUUUUCCAACGCCAAGAUGUACCAAGCGCAUACAAAUACAUCAAGCUUCAAACAAGCUUGCACGUUGACAGUAAUACCUACAGUAAUAUUGUAUUAUAUUAAUGUAAUAUUUUUGAACCAAUGUUCAAUAUUACUGUAGUAAUACUGUUUAUACUCAUGCCUUUUAUAUUUGUUUGAAUUUGGUGCAUAUUUCCAUUGAAUAAAGUAUAGUCACCAUUACCAUUAUUAUACUUACUCUAUAAUAAAGACAGUAACGAGUUAAA
This 638-nucleotide long non-coding RNA is filed under the name Sitophilus oryzae (rice weevil). Its description in RNAcentral is "uncharacterized LOC115889058". Lineage: Eukaryota; Metazoa; Arthropoda; Insecta; Coleoptera; Curculionidae. The record is from RNAcentral.